This is a long non-coding RNA of Rhincodon typus (whale shark), 809 nucleotides long. RefSeq lists it as uncharacterized. The record is from RefSeq and is a predicted model, not a curated record. NCBI's taxonomy places the organism in Eukaryota, Metazoa, Chordata, Chondrichthyes, Orectolobiformes, Rhincodontidae. The transcript is spliced from 6 exons.
UUCUUCCUGUAUCUAUCCACAAUGUCUGAUCUCGGGUCAAGUACCAAAAUUCUGAAAAACAAAGACUCCAUUCAACUUCAUUGAACAUCCACUUACUUUGCAAACUUGGUGUGGAAGAGGGGAAUGUUCCUCAUUGUCGCUGCAACCAUGCCAGCAGAAUGGCAGAAACAAGCUCAAUCCAUCAUAUCAGUGCUACACAGUGGUUAAGCUGACUUAUACACCACAAGACCCUGGCAGCUUGGUUCGAGAUCACCACCCAAGUCAGUGCUGGCUCCAUGGUGCAGAGGAAUGGCCAGCAGUGCCUCAAGAAGAACAAUGACCUUUCCCGCUGUUCCAUGAUGCUGCCAGACCUGCUGAGCUUCCAGCAACUUCUGUUUUUGUUCCUGAUUUACGGCAUCCACAGUUCUUUUGGUUUUUAUUUAGCUUCUAGUGGUGCCUUUGUGGAAUGCAGUUCUAGUCUCUCCAAUAAGGAGAAGCAUCAUCUCAACAUCUAUCCUGUCAAAUUCGUUCAAAUUCAUUUGACUUGACAAACCACCUGGAGAGUCAAGCACAGAUGCUGCCAGACCUGCUGAGAUUUUCCAGCAACUUUGUUUUUGUUAAGGCUCCAUAGAGGGAUGCUUCUAAACCCAUGACCAUUAUCAUCUAGACGGAAAAGACAGCAGAUAUAUGAAAUCACAACCGUCUGAAGGCUUUUCUUCAAGCCACUCUCCAUCCUGAUUUGGAAAUAUAUCACCUUGAUAUUCUUGGUAACAAUGUUGAGAAAAACUUGUACCUUGUUGUUAACAUGUAAUAAAUCACAACUUGUUUGA